Molecule: ribosomal RNA, 252 nt
Filed under: uncultured bacterium
Lineage: Bacteria
Description: partial 16S ribosomal RNA
Rfam family: Bacterial small subunit ribosomal RNA
Source: RNAcentral
GACAGAGGUUGCAAACGUUGUUCGGAAUUACUGGGCAUAAAGCGCACGUAGGCGGUCCGUUAAGUCAUGUGUGAAAUCCCCCGGCUCAACCGGGGAAUUGCGCCUGAUACUGGCGGGCUAGAGGUCGAUAGGGGUGAGCGGAACUCCAGGUGGAGCGGUGAAAUGCGUAGAUAUCUGGAGGAACACCGGUGGCGAAAGCGGCUCACUGGAUCGAACUGACGCUGAGGUGCGAAAGCUAGGGUAGCAAACGGG